GAAAAGAAAGGGAGUCAACACGGCAUUAUUUGAAACCUAUUUUUUAUGAUUGAAAUGUUGCCUUGAGUGUCGUUUUACUUUAAUUUUAUUGUUAACAACUUAGUCAUACGACUUAGCUGAGUGCCGUAUUGUGUUCAGGGGUUCUUUCUUCUCGAUUCUUCUCAUUCUGUUGAAGGUUGUUGCUGGCACAAAACUCUAUGAUUUGUUUUGUGCUUUGCUAUUAUUUUUUCUAUUUUCUGCACUCACCAC
RNAcentral lists this long non-coding RNA (249 nucleotides) under Theobroma cacao (cacao). Its description in RNAcentral is "long non-coding RNA (TCAC_LNC004798)". The record is from RNAcentral. Lineage: Eukaryota; Viridiplantae; Streptophyta; Magnoliopsida; Malvales; Malvaceae.